RNAcentral lists this transfer RNA (72 nucleotides) under Phrynosoma platyrhinos (Desert horned lizard). RNAcentral's name for it is "tRNA-OTHER". The record is from RNAcentral. Lineage: Eukaryota; Metazoa; Chordata; Lepidosauria; Squamata; Phrynosomatidae.
GCCAGCAUGGUAUAGUGGUUUGAGCAUUGGACUAUGACUCUGUAGACCAGGGUUUGAAUCCCUGCUCAGCCA